UAGCAUAUGCUUAUUCAAAAGAUUAAGCCAUGCAUGUCUAAGUAUAGGUGAUUCUAUAGCUGAAACUGCGUAAGGCUCAUUAAAUAGUUUACAAGGUGCCCCCCAAAUCCUCUACUCGGAUAACUGUCGAAAAGCGAGAGCUAAUACGUGCAAAAAGGGAUGACUACAGCAAUGUGGAAGUCCUGGCAUGAUUGGUUACAAAAUCAGCGCCGCCCCUCAAAGGCGGGAAACUUGAUGAUUCACAGUCAUAAAUCGAAGCGGAGGUCUCGUACCGUCGCUAUGGGGGAUCCGUUUUCUACCCAUCAUACUAUGUCUGUAGUAUAGGGGACUACAGAGGUCGUAACGGGUAACGGGGAAUAAGGGUUCGAUUCCGGAGAGGGAGCCUGAGAAAUGGCUACCACUUCCAAGGAAGGCAGCAGGCGCGCAAAUUACCCAAUCCUGAUUCGGGGAGGUAGUGACUGAAAAUAAGAUUGUAGGACGCUACGCGUACUACAUUUCUAAUGAGUACAAUUUAAAUACCUUAACGAGGAACAACUA
RNAcentral lists this ribosomal RNA (537 nucleotides) under uncultured eukaryote. RNAcentral describes it as "bacterial SSU rRNA". It matches the Rfam family "Eukaryotic small subunit ribosomal RNA", at positions 25 to 550 of the family's 1831-position model. The record is from RNAcentral.